CCUUUGAAAUCGUAAAUUUCCAUUCCCAUUAAAAAAUAAUUUGUACUGUAUAAGUAUAUUUCUUUUGAGCUUCAUUUUUUUUUUCAAAAUACUGCAACAUGAGCUUUAAAUUAUGACACAGUACAAUACUUGUUUCAAUAUUUACAUGUAAAUAAAAUAAUCCUAAUUACUUGUAAAAGUAAGGUUAUAAAUUUAAGAAUACAGAACUCUCUUUUAAAACCAAAGUGGCAUUAGACUAAUUUUAAAAUUCCCGCUAAAAGGAAAAAGGUAAAUCUGGCAACAGUGCCGUCGUUUGCUGGACAUUUUAAUCUCUCCCCUACGCCCUACCAUAGCCACCUUUACUUUGCCCUACCCAACCUGUUUGUUUGUGUAUUUGUGUUCUGUGUUCUGUUCCUGUUCGUUGGUCGUCACAUAGCCGUAGUGAAAUAAUUGAUUUAUUUGAUUUACAUCUUUAAUUUACAAUUUACUUACAUAUUUCAAAAACAAAGAAAAUGGGAUGUAGAUUAACUAUUAACUAAAAGGACCAUGUAUGAAGACCAGUAAAUAUUAUUUGUACAAUUAUAAAGAAAAAAAUACAGUAAUUCACAAAAAUAGAAUGGACAGAAAAGAAGAAAAUGAAGAUACAGUAACAAAAAUCAAGUUUGAGAAUAGUAUUUUUGUCAAACCUGAAUUCAUAAAAAACGAACCUGCUCCAGUUGAUCAAAAUACUCCUAGUGAAGACUGUGGACAUGGAGGUUCUAAUAUUAAUUUGGACCAAAUUAAAACAGAAUUAUCAGUUGAAGAUAAUAUGGCAUUUGAACAGAAGGGAGGUGACUUAGGAUUCCAGUAUUUUAAUAGUGAUGUUGAUAAUAUAAAACUAGAGUAUACUGCUAAAGGAAGUCAAAGCAGUGAACAUGUUGAUGAUGCACUUUUAGAUAGCUUGAAAACUGAAAUUAAAGAGGAGCCUGAUAGAGAAAGUACCCAAGAUACGUUUGAUGACUCAGACUUAAAUGAAUACUCGUUAAAAAUUGAAAUAGAAGAAAAUGAAACUAAAUUUAUGCCAUAUGAAGAAAAACAAAUGAACGAAAAAGACUUUCUCCAAGAGAAGAAGAGUUUGGAAAUUAUGAACACAGUAGAAGUACAUUCAUCUAAUAAAGAACAACACACUACUCAUACUGCUGAAGAAAAUUCAUUAAAAUGUGAAACUUGUGAUUUUCCCCAAGAGAAGGAGAGUUUGGGAAUUAUGAACACAGUAGAAGUACAUUCAUCUGAUAAAGAACAACACACUACUCAUACUGCAGAAGAAAAUUCAUUAAAAUGUGAAACUUGUGAUUUUCCCCAAGAGAAGGAGAGUUUGGGAAUUAUGAACACAGUAGAAGUACAUUCAUCUGAUAAAGAACAACACACUACUCAUACUGCAGAAGAAAAUUCAUUAAAAUGUGAAACUUGUGAUUUUCACCAAGAGAAGGAGAGUUUGGGAAUUAUGAACACCGUAGAACUACAUUCAUCUGAUAAAGAACUACACCCUACUCAUACUGCAGAAGAAAAUUCAUUAAAAUGUGAAACUUGUGAUUUUCCCCAAGAGAAGGAGAGUUUGGGAAUUAUGAACACAGUAGAAGUACAUUCAUCUGAUAAAGAACAACACACUACUCAUACUGCCGAAGAAAAUUCAUUAAAAUGUGAAACUUGUGGUAAGCAGUUUGAUAGAAAAAAUAAUUUAAAUCGACAUAUGAGAAUUCAUACUGGGGAAAAACCUUACGAGUGUGACAUUUGUCUUAAGCGGUUUUCUCAUAAAAAUAAUUUGAAAACUCAUUCAAGAGUACACACUGGAGAAACGCCUUACAAGUGUGAAAUUUGUUUUAAGCAGUUUAACCAAACUAGUAAUUUGAAAAAUCAUUUGAGAGUGCACACUGGAGAAACGCCUUACAAAUGUGACAUUUGUUUUAAGCGGUUUUCUCAGGAACGUCAUUUGAAAACGCAUUUGAGAGUGCACACUGGAGAAAAAAUGUACAAGUGUGAAAUAUGUUUUAAGCAAUUUACUCAAGCGGGAAUUUUGAAAACACAUUCCAUAAUACACACUGGCGAAAAACCUUAUAAGUGUGAAAUAUGUUUUAAGCAGUUUUCUUAUGUACAAAAUAUAAAACAACAUAUGCUAAUACACACGGAAGAAAAGCCAUACAAGUGUGAAAUUUGUUUUAAACCGUUUAGCGCAUCACACCAUUUAAAAAAUCAUAUUAUAAGAAUGCACACUGGACAAAAACUUCACAAGUGUGAAAUUUGUUUUAUGCAAUUUUAUGUGGCAAGCUCUUUGAAACAACAUAUGAGAAUGCACUCUGGAGAUAAUGAUUAUAAGUGUGCAAUUUGUUUUAAACCGUUUAACACAUCACACCAUUUGAAAAAUCAUAUAAGAACCCACACCGGAGAAAAACCUCACAAGUGUGGAAUUUGUUUUAAACAAUUUUCUGAGAAAUCUAAUUUGAAAAAACAUUCGAGAGUACACACUGGAGAAAAGCCAUUCAAUUGUGAAAUUUGUUUUAAACAAUUUAGUGCGUCAGGAAGUUUAAAGGUUCAUUAUUUAAGGAUACACUCUGAAGAAAAGCGGUAAAAAUGUGAAAUCUGUUUAAGCAGUCUAUUUCAGCAACUACAAAAAGGUCAAAUCAACUGAAGGGCAGUGGUUCGAUAAAGAGUAUCGUAGCAUAACAGAGAGAAAAAAUAAUGUAUAUCAACGAUUACAACAACGACAGAACACGACAGGCACAUGAGGAAUAUAGAAUGUUCAGGAGGGAAGAGAAGAAAUUACAUCGCAGAAAGAAAAGAGAACACAUAGAAAAAGAACUCCAAGAAAUGGAAGAAUUAAAUAAACCAACAGAAACCAGAAAAUUCUUCCAAAAACUUAACAAAAGCAGAAAAGAAUUUAAACCAAGAAAGAUGAUGCGCAGAGACAAAGAAGGAGACAUAGUAACUCAACAGAGUGAAAUACUACAAAGAUGGAUAGAAUUCACGAGGAAACAAUUUUCCUGUUGUUGUAUGUAUACCAUUACAAAAACAUAAAAUCCUUUAUAAAAGUUAUAUUUGUUAAAAUCCCUAUACAGGACUACAUCAAAGACAUAACUAGUUUUCAAUCGGUUGACCGAUCAUCAUCAGUGUAAUCCGCUAUCAAAAUCACUUGCUUCCAUACAGCCAUGAUGUGAACUAUUCAAAUUGAGCUCAUUGGUACAUCGAGCGUGAAACAUUGGAUAUUUUAUACAUCCAUGUUCAAAACCACAUCUUUUUCAUAUGUUCCUAUGACGGAUUAAUUAUAAAGGGUUUAUACCCAAAUAUUUUUUACUUUGGUGGUUAGCAUGUUAGAUUCUGAGAUUACACUGAUGAUGAUCGGUCAACCGAUUGAAAACUAGUUGUCUUUAAUGUAGCCCUGUAUAGGGAUUUUAACAAAUAUACCUUUUAUAAAGGAUUUUAUGUUUAUGGAUAGAAUCCUUCAAAGAAAAGUUUGAAAAAAACGGAGAUCCACUCUACGAUGGAAUUAUACUGGAUCAAACGGAUACCAGAGAAACAACCCCCCUUCAGUAGCUGAAAUGCAAAAAGAAGUUACCAGACUGAAAAACAAUAAGUCACCUGGAUUAGGCAACAUUAGCGCAGAAAUAAUAAAGGAAUGCGAUACACGAACUAAUAGUUAACAUAUGGAAUAAUAAACAACUGCCACAAGACUGGAAUACCGGAGUAAUUAUUCCACUACAUAAAAAGGGAGAUCAGCUUCAAUGUAAAAACUACCGGGCAAUAACACUACUGAAUGUGGCAUAUAAAAUACUAUCAAAUAUUGUGUAUGAGCGAUUGAGACCAUAUGCGGAACAAAUAGUUGGGGGAUAUCAAUGCAGGCAGAAGUCCACAAUAGAUGAGAUCUUCGUCUUGAGGCAAAUCUUGGAAAAUACUAGUAAAUUUAAUAUAGACACACAUCAUCUCUUCAUUGAUUUUGAGAGUGCCUAUGAUAGUAUCCAUCGAGAAUUUCUGAUCCACUGCCUGAAAGAGUUUAAUAUUCCAAAUCGACUCAUUGAUAUAGUAAAAGAAACAAAGUAAAAUUCGAAUUCAAAAUGCACUAACAGAUACAAUCCAUGUUAAAACGGGCCUACGACACACAGUGGUUCCAAAUGCCGAAAACGUGGUCAUGAACCUUUAAAAGCGUAUAUCGUUUAUACACUUCGGAAUUACUUUCGUACUCAAAGGUUUUUGGCAUCGCUGAUUACGAAUCUGAAAUUAUUUUUUCUGAAAAACAAAAUGGCGGAUCCAACAUGGCGGAAAGAAAUUGAAAAUAUCAAUCACAGCGCAAAUUUUUUUGAUAAAUUUUGUAGUUUAAUGUCGCUGAUAUUACAGAUAUAACAUUAUUUCUUUUUAAAACAAAAUGGCGGAUUCAAUAUGACAAAAAGAAAUUCGAAAAUUUUAUGUUAAACGCAUAUUUGUUUAAAAUUUUAUAUUAUAAGGGACUUUUGAAAUUACUGAUUACCAAUACAUUUUCUUUAUAAAGUACAAUAUUCAAAACCUAUUACUUAUGUACAACCACCCAUACAUACUCAACAAUCGCCAGAAUCAUGUAAUAUGCGUCAUUUCCUACUUUUGUAUUCAAACAACUGCCAGCAGUGCAUAGACAGUUAUAGACAGAUAAAGCAAAGUGAUUCGGUAUCUUGGUACUAUAUACAUAUUUUAAGAUCAAUAAACACUAAAAUUUUGAUUAUUUCAGGUAUAUUUUUACUAUUUAUGCAUUAACAAAUUAAAGGCAUUUAUUGUUACUAAAUCUUAAGUUAACUUACAUCAUACAUUACUACAUACUUAAAAAAAGAAGAAUCUGCUUUACAGCAAUAAAAUUGAUAAACUAAAAAACGUUUUACAGCGUGUUGAAUAUACACGUUUUUUUCACUUUCUCUGCCGGCCAAAAUAAUCUUGGACAUGGUUCACUUGUUCCUAAGCUAUGAACCAGAAUACAUCCAGUUUGAUCCUUAUAGCUGCGUAUUACGACUCUACGAUAGUAUGAGAAAACAACUGUAAACAUGAAAAUCCCUAAAUAAGGACGUUUUAUUUUAGCUCAUGACCACGUUUUCAGCAUUUGGAACCACUGUGCGACAGGGAGAUGCCCUCUCCUGUAUUCUAUUGAACAUCACAUUAGAGAAAAUAAUUAGAGUCAAAAGUCAACACCAGAGGGACAAUAAUAACAAAAAGUGUACAAAUAUUGGCAUUUGCAGAUGAUGUUGAUAUCAUAGCUAGAAGCGAAAGAAAAAUGAUAGAUGCAUUUAAUGCGAUAGAAAUAGCGAUAAAAAACAGUGGCCUAAAUAUUAAUUAAAUAAAAACCAAAUACAUGAAGGCCAGGAAAUCGACAGGCCAAAGAAACCUACAGAAUCUGACAAUAGGAGUUCACUAGUUACCGCAGAUAACAAUGUCAGCGAAGAAGUUAAGAGAAGAAUACACAUUGCUAAUAAAACAUAUAAUGGACUAAUUAAACAUCUAAGAUCUAACAUCACGAGAAAAACCAAUGUAGAAAUAUUCUACAAAAGUUAUGCGGUACCACAUGGGGUUGUAAUUGUAAUUGUAAUAUGUAUUGUAAUUGAAAGGAAUUUCGAAAUAACCGACCG
Molecule: unclassified non-coding RNA, 5594 nt
Filed under: Diabrotica virgifera virgifera (western corn rootworm)
Lineage: Eukaryota; Metazoa; Arthropoda; Insecta; Coleoptera; Chrysomelidae
Description: zinc finger protein 83-like
Source: RNAcentral